AUGAGAAGCCAAGGUGUUAUGCCAAAUGUUGUUACCUGCAACUCAGUCAUGACCUACCAUUGCAAGAAUGGAAGAGUCAAAGAAGCUGCAGAAAUAUUUUAUUCCAUGGCUGUGAACGGCCGAAAACCUGAUGUCAUCUCAUACUCUAUUAUGCUCCACGGGCACGCGACAGAAGGAUCCAUUGUUGAAAUGAUUGAUCUCUGUGAGCUGAUGGCAAGAGACGGAGUUGUACCCAACCGCUCUGUUUUCAACAUACUGAUUAAGGCAUAUGCUAAGUAUGGCAUGAUGGAUGUGGCCAUGCUUUUCUUCGAAGACAUGUUGAAGAAGGGGGUGAACCCUAAUGAAGUCACUUAUUUAACCGUGAUAUCUGCAUUUUGCAAGAUGGGCAGGAUGGAUGAUGCGAUGGAAAAAUUCAAUGAGAUGAUUGAUAUGGGAGUACCACUUGACACAGAAGUUUACAUGUGCAUGGUUGAGGGUUAUUUUAAUCAUGAUGAUUCCAUGAAAGCGGAGGAAUUUAUUACUAAAAUGAAGAGCAGGGAUAUUUUUCAUAGGCCGCGGAAGGGUAAU
Molecule: ribosomal RNA, 567 nt
Filed under: Triticum aestivum (bread wheat)
Lineage: Eukaryota; Viridiplantae; Streptophyta; Magnoliopsida; Poales; Poaceae
Description: partial small subunit ribosomal RNA
Source: RNAcentral